Rhododendron vialii is the source of this 2607-nucleotide long non-coding RNA. RefSeq lists it as uncharacterized. The record is from RefSeq and is a predicted model, not a curated record. The transcript is spliced from 11 exons. NCBI's taxonomy places the organism in Eukaryota, Viridiplantae, Streptophyta, Magnoliopsida, Ericales, Ericaceae.
CCUGUAAUUUCUUCCUUAUAUUUUUUUUUUCUGUGCUCUGUUUUCUUUUUUCCCUUUUGACUGACCUUUCUUUCUCCUUUUUGUAAUGGCUCAAAUUGUUUAAUUUCUAAGGUUCACUUUUAUCCUACCAAGGAAGGGGCCAUAUCAAUGUGGUAAAAUAGGUGGAAAGACAUGUCUGAUUAAAAUAGGUUGAAAGACAGAGUUGCUUGAGUUCAAAAAAGAUGAAUGAUUAUGAAAAAAUGGUGGAAGAUCCCGCAGCUUAUUUCCGUAUUCCUUCCGAAAUUGCUUUGUACAGAUAAUUCUUGAACAGUUAUGAGAUUCUGAAGGUCACACUCUCUUUCUCACACUCACAAGCAUGGACGCACUAUUUAAAUGAAUCAAUUCAUGUGGUAAAUGGGUGAAAUCCCUUGGUUUGAGCAUCUAAAUUGGUUGUUUGUUUAGAUUUUAGUGAUUUAUUUGUGUCAAUUAUUCCUAAUCUUAAUUUUCUAUUUCAUGCUUUCUAUAUUCCUAAUCGUAAUUGGUUGGGUCUGAUCGAUCUUUAGUUCUGGUUCCUCCUUUCAUGUUGUUCAAGUUCUAACAUUACCAUGACUAGCAAAGUGGGCCGUGUGUUAUUUGUUUCGUUACUUACAUCUUCGUUAUAUUACAGGGAACUUAAAUUCUUGAGGUUGGUGAUGAGGAUAUGACAUACUUUUGACGAGGUUUUUUUUUUUUUUUUUUUUCAUUCAGGAUUUAUUUAACUUCUGCACACUUUUUUAGAUACUUCAUUAAUUUUUUGUACGUGUUUUUUGUGGGGUUUUCAGAAACUGCUGGCGUUACUAUAAGGUAUAAUGAAACUCUUCAGUUGCAAAAGUUUGUUUUUAGUUGAUCACUAAAACUUGAUUGGACAUGAUGACAUGAUAUACUCCUAUUUCUUUGUUUGGCUUCUCUUUAAGAGUUUGAAUGUAAAUGAUCCUUGAAAUGGUGAGGGAGUCUUUGAGUUGUUUGUUUUGUUUGUACUAUCUUUGCUUUAUUUCAUUGGUUUCCACUACUUUGAAGUCUAACAUCUAUAAGUGAGUAUUCUUCUUGAUCUGCUGCUGAUCGGCGCGACGAGUGACCACUGGAACCACCACCAUUCGAGGCUCUCACCACGCCCACCUUUGAUAAAUCAGGGUUCGAAUCGAUGGCAUGUAGUUCUUCACCCCAAAAGGUACGAGUACUUCUCAGGUUAGGGUUUCUCUCUCUCCAAGGGAUUUCUUCUCUUUUCGAGCACCAUCAACUGUGGCCGAUCUGUCAGUUUGUUUCUAUUGCACAGGGUCAAGCUUUGUAUAUGGGGAACGACAUGAACAAGUUCUACCCCAUUUUGUUUGGGGAAGAUGUAGCAUCUGCUGAUUCAGAGGAAGAUAGUGCAAGGGUCAAGCUUUGUAUACGGGGAACGGCAUAAACAAGUUCUACCCAAUUGUGUAUGGGGAAGACAUGACAUCUGCUGAUUUAGACGAAGAUAGUGCAAGUCUUUGAUGUCAAGAUGUCUGCAUAGGUUAUAUGGUAUGUGUUAGAACAUGUUGGAAUGCGAAUAUGAAAAGUCCCAUCUCCAGAACUUAAAUUAAAAGAUCAGGGCUUAAUAUUCUUUGUAUGGACCCACCACUUAUGGGCCAUGUGUUGCACGCCCAAAAGACCACCAAUUUGUUGCAGUGGCCAACCUUGCAACGUCGAAAGCUUGUUGAGAUAGAAGUGAAACCACCUCAAACUUCUUUCAUAUCGAGUUGAUUAGGCCUGAGAGAUGGACAAAAGAAAGGAGGGAAAGCAUGGAGAAGCAAGGGCUGUUUUGAGGCGUUCUGAUUGGGAAAAUGGGUCCGAGGUAGCAGAACAAAGUGGCGAUGUCUCACGGGACCAUAAUUCUGAGCUUCUGAUGGGGAGGCCUUCCAUUCCCUGAGCAAUUGCGAUGACAGAUGGCCCCAUGGACUGGAAUAAAGCUCUUGAUAUCAUUUAGCAUGGCUCCCCUGAGCAGUCUAUUGAAGGUAUGAAAUUCAUCUGCAAUGUGCUGGUUCAAGCAACCAACAAGCCUGAAGAUUGUGCGAUGGAUGACAUUGUGAAAGAUGCUAAUAGACUGGUUUCAUGCUUAGCUAAUAAAUGUUCCUAGUUGUGUCAGUUUCUUAUUUGAUAUCAACUCGGUUGGCUUCUUUAUGUUGCAUCUCUCAAAGUCAAAAUCGCAUUAAACUGCAUGAUAUCUGCUGCAGGUUGUCAAGAUAUUUGACUUUAGUAUUGCAGGAGCCACUUCAAGGUCUUGUAAAUAUGUUCUGAACACAUUUAUGCAGACAUUUCAAAAUAAUCGUCUUGUAGAUGCAGUGAAGGAGAGUACCCUUAAUAGUCUUGACACUGUGCUUUUGCUUUGGCUUUUAGAUGAAAGGGUGCCCCACAUGGAUGGCGGCCAACUUCUCAAAGCAUCGAAUGUUUUGAUGUUUAAGAUCCUAGUAAAUAUUGCUUCAUGAUUUGUGGCAUAAUGUUCAUUGUAGUCUGUUGUCUUCUACCAUGUUCAUAUCCCUAUUUUUUUGUAGAAUUGUCGUGUUCCAUGUCUGUAUUCGUGUCUGUGCUACAUAGCCCACAAUUGCUGAAUAGUAUUUAUUUUCUUUA